UGGGGAAUAUUGCACAAUGGGCGCAAGCCUGAUGCAGCAACGCCGCGUGGAGGAAGACGGUUUUCGGAUUGUAAACUCCUGUUCUUAGUGAAGAAAAUGACGGUAGCUAAGGAGCAAGCCACGGCUAACUACGUGCCAGCAGCCGCGGUAAUACGUAGGUGGCAAGCGUUGUCCGGAAUUACUGGGUGUAAAGGGAGCGCAGGCGGGGGAGCAAGUCAGCUGUGAAAUCUAUGGGCUUAACCCAUAAACUGCAGUUGAAACUGUUCUUCUUGAGUAUCGGAGAGGUAAUCGGAAUUCCUUGUGUAGCGGUGAAAUGCGUAGAUAUAAGGAAGAACACCAGUGGCGAAGGCGGAUUACUGGACGACAACUGACGGUGAGGCGCGAAAGCGUGGGGAGCAAACAGGAUUAGAUACCCUGGUAGU
This 422-nucleotide ribosomal RNA is filed under the name uncultured Eubacterium sp. RNAcentral describes it as "bacterial SSU rRNA". It matches the Rfam family "Bacterial small subunit ribosomal RNA", at positions 355 to 794 of the family's 1533-position model. Lineage: Bacteria; Bacillati; Bacillota; Clostridia; Eubacteriales; Eubacteriaceae. The record is from RNAcentral.